CCGCCAGGGCUCGCCCCCCGCCCAGCUCUGGACGUUGGAGCCGCAAGUGAAGUCCGGGAAGGGCUGGACGUGCGCGGCCGCGCGCGCCCUCCCAACUGUGCGCCCAGUGGGCGAGCCUUAUACGACGCCGGAUCCAGCCAGGGGACGCCCUGUCCCCGCCAGGGACCCUAGGAACGCGGCCCUGGGAGAGGGAAGAUCACAUACCCAAAUCAGCAGGGGUACAUCCCCACCCUGGCCCAGCAGCAAAUCCCUUCCAGGGAGCCAGGAUCACCACAGCUUUUUUGGAGACACCCUAUAAACGUGGCUGAAGGACCUGAUGGGCCACAGCGGGUGCUUUGGGGACCUGAUGGAAAUUUCAAAGAUUUGGAAGUCUGGGAGCAGAGUGGCCCGAUUUGUGUGGAGAGCCUUUUAGUUGCUUGGGGAAUCGGACGGCCAGUUAACAUACAAGAUGCUCAGUUAAAUUGGAAUAUCAGGAAGCACAGAAUGUGGGGGACCAGGUCAGGAGACCGGAGAGCCGGGUGCAGGUGACUGUGCUCCCUGGUCCGUGGCAUAGAUGGGAGGAAGGAGGAAGCCGAGGAGGGGAGUGAAAUAGGAAGAUUCCGGGGAGAUUUUGGAGGAACACCCGCAUGGUUUGCUGAUGGAUUGGGUGUGGGUGGAUGACCCAGUAUUGGGCUUUUACCCUGAGUGAGGUGGGGGAGCCCCGGAGGUGCUGUGAGUGGAGAAGGGAUGUGACUUGGGUAGGAGGUUCACAGACCCAGCCUGGGGACUCAACUACCAUCUGUCCUCAUAAAUGGCCCCAGCCCGGGUCCCCGCCCUCCUGGAACUGCUGACCUUUGCAGCUGGGUUAUUCUCUGUGGGGGACCAUCCUGGGCACUGUGGGGUGUGGAGCUGCAUCUCUGGCCCCCCACCCACUGGAUGCCAGGAGUGUCCCCUGCUCCCCUCAACUGGGACAACCAGACUUUGCCAGCAUCCUCUGGAGGGCAGAGUCGCUCCCAGUUGGGGAUCCCUGGUCUUGGCACUGUAAGAGCCAGCCAACUGAUGGGUCUGCGGUGCUAAGCGGGGCAGGGUCCUGGAAGGUUUUGUCAAUCGGGGAGGCUUUGUCCUCUGCUGGUAUUGACUGAUCUUUCCUGGGAUGGGACAAAUGGCUGCCCGCACGGACGGAGCUUGGCAAGGUUCAGGCUACAGGCUACCCACGCCCGGACUGAUCUGAAGACCACCUGUGCAAGGCAAAGGAGGGACCUGCCAUAGAGGCUGAUAAAACUUUUAAUAUUUAGACGUUUGGGCAUGUGAUUCUGACGAUUCGAGCUCCUGGGAAACGCUGCCCGCGUCCCGCAGCCCGCAGCUGUCCGAGUCCGCGGGGGCGCUGGUGAUGAUUAUGGGCACCUUGACCUUGACGCUACUCAGGGACCAGGGCAGGUGGACGGUGCUGACCAGCUCGUAGCGGGUGUUCAUGAUCUCGCUGUCCUGCGUCCCGCCGCUCACGGACAGCACCGGCGGGAGGUGGAAAGUGCUGACGAUCUUGGUGGUGUUGAAGGGUGUGAUCUGGGUGUUGGCCUCCUGCCGAAGCAGCUCGCUGCUGUCCACCCUGGAGCGCCGCUCCGCGUUGGGCGUGAAGCCCUCGUACUGCACGUGGGCGUAGAGGGCGAAGAUGACCGUCUUGAUGCACUUGCUGGUCUGGUUGUUGAUUUCCGUGGUGAAAAUGACCCUCUCCCCCGGCGCGAAGGUAUUUUUUUCCAUCUGGAUCUGCAGGCAGAUGGUGCCCUGGCUGCAGCAGUUGUAGGAGAUCUUUUUCUCAGCCUCCACGAACAGAGGAUUCUAAAAGAGGUGGGGGAGGGAUGGAAAACUGUGAGGGAUCUCGGCCACAAGAUCCACUUGCUCAUCUAACAGUCCACCAGAGCCGUGAGCGUGAGCCUUUGGGACUCUCCUGGUAAGAGGCACUGGGAUGAAAUCUGGAGUCUUGGGGAUUUUGCAGCCCAAAAUCAUCUCUUAGCUUUUGCAUUUAAUCUAAGCCCUUUGCCAUGCUGAGCAUCAAUUUCCUUGUCUGUAAAAUAGACCUAAGAAUUUCACAAGACCCUGGCUUUAAUCCCAGCUCCAUAACUCACUUGCUGUGUGACCUUGAACUGGUGCCUUGACUUCUCUGAGCCUUAAUUUUCUGGAAGACAGGGAAUGUCUUAUAGUCUAAGCCCAAGACCUAGGGCUUACCCAAGUAGUUCAGACUUAAGGAGGAAAUAUGGGCUCUGAAUCAUCAAAACCGUAGAGUUGAAAUUUUGUAACGUAUUUAAAUAAAGGCUUCAGAAUGCAGCCUCUAUAUCAAUGGGUUAGCUGCUGGAUUGCAGAUAAAGUCACAUAUAUGUUAUAUUUAAUGUGUGGCUUGGGGAUCAUUUUGUUUUUUAUUUGUGGGUACUAGUUUAAAAGAUUUGAUUUGAGGGAAUUCCCUGGCGGUCCCAUAGCUAGGACG
Molecule: long non-coding RNA, 2458 nt
Organism: Hippopotamus amphibius kiboko
Lineage: Eukaryota; Metazoa; Chordata; Mammalia; Artiodactyla; Hippopotamidae
Exons: 4
Source: RefSeq, a predicted model, not a curated record